This 500-nucleotide ribosomal RNA is filed under the name uncultured bacterium. RNAcentral's name for it is "partial 16S ribosomal RNA". It matches the Rfam family "Bacterial small subunit ribosomal RNA", at positions 30 to 523 of the family's 1533-position model. The record is from RNAcentral.
AUUGAACGCUGGCGGCAUGCUUUACACAUGCAAGUCGAACGGUAACAGGGUGCUUGCACCGCUGACGAGUGGCGAACGGGUGAGUAAUGCGUCGGAACGUGCCGAGUAGUGGGGGAUAACGCAGCGAAAGUUGUGCUAAUACCGCAUACGUACUGAGGUAGAAAGUGGGGGACCUUCGGGCCUCACGCUAUUCGAGCGGCCGACGCCUGAUUAGCUAGUAGGUGAGGUAAAGGCUCACCUAGGCGACGAUCAGUAGCGGGUCUGAGAGGAUGAUCCGCCACACUGGGACUGAGACACGGCCCAGACUCCGACGGGAGGCAGCAGUGGGGAAUUUUGGACAAGGGGCGAAAGCCUGAUCCAGCCAUGCCGCGUGUCUGAAGAAGGCCUUCGGGUUGUAAAGGACCUUUGUCAGGGAGGAAAUCCCUAGUGCUAAUAACACUGGGGGAUGACAGUACCUGAAGAAUAAGCACCGGCUAACUACGUGCCAGCCGCCGCCGUAA